GUCCGACUUACAGCUUCAUAUUGCCAGUGAGUACCAGUCUGUUCUGCCAGAGCACAAUGAUCCUCAGUUGGUACCGACCUGUGAUUCACAGUACAAGUGUCCCCUUUGUGAAAAGAAGGGAGACUUGUGUAAGCUGGUCCCUCAUUUACAGGGCCACAAGCGAAACACAGUUAAACAUGCAGUGCUUCAAUCUAGAGAGAGCCUUCUACUCAAAUGUACUCUAUUGUGACCAGCCCAGGAAAAGGAGAACACACACAGACAGUAGU
This is a long non-coding RNA of Sander lucioperca (pikeperch), 266 nucleotides long. RefSeq lists it as uncharacterized. The transcript is spliced from 3 exons. The record is from RefSeq and is a predicted model, not a curated record. NCBI's taxonomy places the organism in Eukaryota, Metazoa, Chordata, Actinopteri, Perciformes, Percidae.